RNAcentral lists this ribosomal RNA (462 nucleotides) under Bacteroides pyogenes. RNAcentral's name for it is "partial 23S ribosomal RNA". It matches the Rfam family "Bacterial large subunit ribosomal RNA", at positions 565 to 1028 of the family's 2925-position model. Lineage: Bacteria; Pseudomonadati; Bacteroidota; Bacteroidia; Bacteroidales; Bacteroidaceae. The record is from RNAcentral.
UACAAGCAGUGGGAGCCUCUUUAUGGGGUGACUGCGUACCUUUUGUAUAAUGGGUCAGCGACUUAUAUUCUGUAGCAAGGUUAACCGAAUAGGGGAGCCGAAGGGAAACCGAGUCUUAACUGGGCGUUAAGUUGCAGGGUAUAGACCCGAAACCCGGUGAUCUAGCCAUGGGCAGGUUGAAGGUUGGGUAACACUAACUGGAGGACCGAACCGACUAAUGUUGAAAAAUUAGCGGAUGACUUGUGGCUGGGGGUGAAAGGCCAAUCAAACCGGGAGAUAGCUGGUUCUCCCCGAAAGCUAUUUAGGUAGCGCCUCGUGAAUUCAUCUCCGGGGGUAGAGCACUGUUUCGGCAAGGGGGUCAUCCCGACUUACCAACCCGAUGCAAACUGCGAAUACCGGAGAAUGUUAUCACGGGAGACACACGGCGGGUGCUAACGUCCGUCGUGAAGAGGGAAACAACCC